RNAcentral lists this ribosomal RNA (301 nucleotides) under uncultured bacterium. Its description in RNAcentral is "partial 16S ribosomal RNA". It matches the Rfam family "Bacterial small subunit ribosomal RNA", at positions 509 to 807 of the family's 1533-position model. The record is from RNAcentral.
CAGUAGCCGCGGUAAUACAGAGGGUGCGAGCGUUAAUCGGAUUUACUGGGCGUAAAGCGUGCGUAGGUGGUGGUUUAAGUCCGUUGUGAAAGCCCUGGGCUCAACCUGGGAAUUGCAGUGGAUACUGGGUCACUAGAGUGUGGUAGAGGAUAGUGGAAUUUCCGGUGUAGCAGUGAAAUGCGUAGAGAUCGGAAGGAACAUCUGUGGCGAAGGCGACUAUCUGGGCCAACACUGACACUGAGGCACGAAAGCGUGGGGAGCAAACAGGAUUAGAUACCCCCGUAGUCCCUGUCUCUUAUAC